UCUAUGGAGAGUUUGAUUCUGGCUCAGAACGAACACUGGCGGCGCGCCUAAUACAUGCAAGUCGAACGGGAAAGUGAGGUUCGCCUCACGAGUAUAGUGGCGACCGGGUGAGUAACGCGUUAGUAAUCUACCUUUCAGUUGGGGAUAACCUUGUUAAAACGGGGCUAAUACCGAAUAGCAUUCCGAUGCCGCAUGGCAUUGUGAUAAAAGGUGCGUAAGUACCGCUGGAAGAUGAACUUGCGUCCCAUUAGCUAGUUGGCGGGGUAAUGGCCCACCAAGGCGACGAUGGGUAGCCGGCCUGAGAGGGUGUACGGCCACAUUGGGACUGAGAUACGGCCCAGACUCCUACGGGAGGCAGCAGUAGGGAAUUUUGCGCAAUGGACGAAAGUCUGACGCAGCGACGCCGCGUGAGUGAUGAAGGUCUUCGGAUUGUAAAGCUCUUUUAGGAGGGAAGAACCUGCAGGUGAAUAAUCUGCACUGACGGUACCUCCAGAAAAAGCUCCGGCUAACUCUGUGCCAGCAGCCGCGGUAAUACAGGGGGAGCUAGUGUUGUUCGGAUUUACUGGGUGUAAAGGGAGCGU
RNAcentral lists this ribosomal RNA (581 nucleotides) under Candidatus Raymondbacteria bacterium RifOxyB12_full_50_8. Its description in RNAcentral is "bacterial SSU rRNA". It matches the Rfam family "Bacterial small subunit ribosomal RNA", at positions 1 to 572 of the family's 1533-position model. The record is from RNAcentral. Lineage: Bacteria; Candidatus Raymondiibacteriota.